RNAcentral lists this ribosomal RNA (252 nucleotides) under uncultured bacterium. RNAcentral describes it as "partial 16S ribosomal RNA". It matches the Rfam family "Bacterial small subunit ribosomal RNA", at positions 524 to 776 of the family's 1533-position model. The record is from RNAcentral.
UACGGAGGUGGCAAGCGUUGCUCGGAAUCACUGGGCGUAAAGGGCGCGUAGGCGGGGAGGUAAGUCGGGUGUGAAAUCCCUCGGCCCAACCGAGGAACUGCGCCCGAGACUGCUUCUCUUGAGUCCCGGAGAGGAAGAUGGAAUUCCCGGUGUAGCGGUGAAAUGUGUAGAGAUCGGGAGGAACACCAUAGCGAAGGCAGCUUACUAAGGAGUAACUGACGCUGAGGCACGAAAGUGUGGGGAUCAAACGGG